RNAcentral lists this ribosomal RNA (109 nucleotides) under Pteropus alecto (black flying fox). The record is from RNAcentral. Lineage: Eukaryota; Metazoa; Chordata; Mammalia; Chiroptera; Pteropodidae.
GUCUAUGGCCAUGCCACCCUAAACACUCCUGAUCUCAGAAGCUAAGCAGGGUCGGGCCUGCUUAGUACUUGGAUGGAAGACCACCUAGGAAUACCAGGUGCUAUAGGCU